GAGUUUGAUCCUGGCUCAGGACGAACGCUGGCGGCGUGCCUAACACAUGCAAGUCGAACGGAGUUAAGAAGGAGCUUGCUUCAUCUUAACUUAGUGGCGGACGGGUGAGUAACGCGUGAGUAACCUGCCUUUCAGAGGGGGAUAACGUCUGGAAACGGACGCUAAUACCGCAUGACAUUUCUGUGCCGCAUGACAUAGAAAUCAAAGAAGCAAUCCGCUGAGAGAUGGACUCGCGUCCGAUUAGCUAGUUGGUGAGAUAAAGGCCCACCAAGGCGACGAUCGGUAGCCGGACUGAGAGGUUGAACGGCCACAUUGGGACUGAGACACGGCCCAGACUCCUACGGGAGGCAGCAGUGGGGGAUAUUGCACAAUGGAGGAAACUCUGAUGCAGCAACGCCGCGUGAGGGAAGAAGGUCUUCGGAUUGUAAACCUUUGUCCUUGGUGAAGAAAAGAAUGACGGUAGCCAAGGAGGAAGCUCCGGCUAACUACGUGCCAGCAGCCGCGGUAAUAC
This 511-nucleotide ribosomal RNA is filed under the name uncultured bacterium. RNAcentral describes it as "bacterial SSU rRNA". It matches the Rfam family "Bacterial small subunit ribosomal RNA", at positions 9 to 526 of the family's 1533-position model. The record is from RNAcentral.